Molecule: long non-coding RNA, 2689 nt
Filed under: Olea europaea subsp. europaea
Lineage: Eukaryota; Viridiplantae; Streptophyta; Magnoliopsida; Lamiales; Oleaceae
Source: RNAcentral
UUGAUAGAGGAAUCGAGUAAUUUUAUUAAUUGACAACCAAUGGAGAAAAAAACACAAUUUCGACAAUAUAUAAAUUGGAAGAAGAGUCAAAUAUCUAUAGGGACAAUCCACACCCUACAAGCAGAUUUGUGAAUGAAAUAGAAUGUACAAACGUUUCCUUAUCUUGAUAUCUUUAAAUCCAAUACAAAUUGCAACUCCUAAUAAAGCUUUCAAAUAGAAUUUCAACUAGAAUUUGCUAAUAGAUUUCGAAUAUGAUUCCAAAAGCAUUCCAAAUAGAAUUCUUUUUAAUGUAGACUUUAAUUAGAACUCUCAAUUAUCUUCAUCAAAGAAUUUGAGUUACACCCAAAGUCUAAAAAUUUCCACUUUGAUAUGAAUUUCGAUGCAACGAACAAAGCUCCAAUCUAGAAAAAUAAGUCCGACUGCAGGGAAAUGGACUGAACUCUUCAACUAGAAUAAAACUUAUCCACCUUACGAAAAAUUACUCUCCCUCUUCACAGUUUCCACAAAAAAUACCAGAACCCAAACACCGGGUUCCCAAAAUUUCUACAAGGAAUUUAAGAUUUACCAAACAUGGUCGAAACACAUCCUGUAACAGAAUCAACUCUCAAUACUUUCAUCGAAGGCCCCUUCCUAGUCUCAACACCUUCAAAAAUGCCAAAAGCGCAACUAAAUCAGCAUCCUCGUACUUAUCUCCAAUAGGUCUAUCUCUAACAGUUGAAUACGAUGAAACCAUGGACAAUGGUAGCAAAGUGAAGUUACUCAGAUCCUCUAAACUUGAUUCGGUAGUAUUUUUCAAUAUGGACCCAGAAUCAAAUUCUAAAGGUACAGUACCAAACAAAAUCUCCACCACGGUACUAAACCUGUGACGAAUUUUCUUUACUAAUUCUACUUGACCUUACAAGAUGUAUAAUUGGGAUCUCUUCUACACAUCCAAUACAACAUGAACACCCUUCCGGACCCUCAAGACUCCACCUGCCCCAGAGAACGUGUACCAUUUCGAAUCAAGAGUACUCAAUGAAAUGAGAUUCUUCUUCAAAUCUAUAAUAUGUCGAACAUGAUCGGGUGUUCUACAUGUUCCAUCUACCAACUUCAAUAUAACUCUACCGAUACCAGCUACUCAACAAAGUUCGCUCUUACCCAUGACAAAGACACCUUGCAUCACCAUUUCAUAUGUUUCAAUUCCAAUUAAGGAAUGUACAAGCUGAGUCUAAAAUCCACUCUUAUUGAUUCUACAUCAGAAAUCAUCAAGACAUUUCUAUCACUCAAAUUGUCCUCAACUAUGUAGGUCUCGUUUAAAGUGUUUGAUUACUUCCUAUGAUUUGCAAUUGAAGUACCUUUAUUUUAUAAUUUUUUGCAAUCUCUCUUAAUGUGCCAUUUCUUCUUGCAAUAAUAACAAACAUGAUUGCUGAAACUCGGCCUUGACUUAUCCCUUCGUCGAUCACAAUAAAUCACAAGACCUUCUUCAACUUUGGACUCAAAUCCAACUAGAUGUUUCAUCUUUUCCUUUGAGACCAGGACAUCAUAUACGACUUCUAUGAGGAGAUCAUCAUGACUAUACAAAAUUAUGCCCCUUGAACGAUGGGGGCAGAGAAUACAACAAGAUUAAGGACAAAUCUUUUUCAUCAUAUUUUACGUCUAAUGUAUCUAAAUCAACGACGAUCUCCUUGAACACAGCUAAAUGAUCUUCCAAAGAUCUGUCAUCUGCCAUGAAAUGAGAAAGCAACCUCUGCUUUAGAUGCAAAUUGCUCGUUAGACUUUUAGCCAUGCACAAUUGCUCCAGCGUCAACCACAACGUAGUUGUUGUGUUCUUCUUCAAAACGUCCUAAAUGAUAUUGUUAGAGAGAUGAAGAUGAAUCUGUAAAAGUACCUUCCAAUAAUUCUGUUGUUUCUCUUCCAUUGGCCAAGUUGGGAGCAUUUUAUCAAAUCCUAACAACGCAUCAUCCAAAUUCAUCUGAACCAAUACAGCUCGCAUCUUCACUUGCCACAACAAAAAUCUUGUAUUACGAUUCAAAAGCGAAAUUUCAUACUUCAUGAUUGUCAUCGAUAGCAGAAAACCUCAAACAAAAUCACAAUCAAUAGCUCAAAUACCACUUUUUGGGAACGGAGAGGCAAGUAUAACAUAAUAUGAAAUAUAUGAUCGCGCACUAAAAACAAGUUUAAAAACAAGAAGAGACUUGCAGAGAAGUUGAGCAAUUUUAUUAAUUGAUAACCAAUGGAGAGAAAAAUACAAUUUCAACAAUACAUAAACUGGAAGAAGACUUAAAUAUAUAUAGGGAUAAUCCAAGCCCUAGAAGCUGAGUUCUAGAUGAAAUAAAAUGUGCAAAAGCUUCCUUAUCAUGGUUUCUUUAAAUCCAACACAAAUUUCAACUCCAAAUAUGGGUUCCAAAUAAAAUUUCAACUAGAAUUUACAAAAAGAUUUCGAAUAAAAUUCCAAAAACAUUUCAAAUAAAAUUUUUCUUAAUGUGCACUUUAAUUAGAACCCUCAAUUACACCCAAAUUCUAACACUUUAUACUUUUCACAACAAUAUCUUUCAACAAUUUUAACCAUCUGACAAUCAUUUAAAUCAGCAUCAAAUUUUUCCCGAACAUGGAGAAAACAAAAAACAUAUGAGUGAACAUAUUAUUAAAACAUAAGUUACUUUUAGCAGGGCCGGAUGCAGAAAUUUUUAGUUAGGGAGGCACAAUCAAA